GCCUACGGGGGGCAGCAGUAGGGAAUCUUCCACAAUGGACGAAAGUCUGAUGGAGCAACGCCGCGCGAGUGAAGAAGGGUUUCGGCUCGUAAAGCUCUGUUGGUAGUGAAGAAAGAUAGAGGUAGUAACUGGCCUUUAUUUGACGGUAAUUACUUAGAAAGUCACGGCUAACUACGUGCCAGCAGCCGCGGUAAUACGUAGGUGGCAAGCGUUGUCCGGGUUUAUUGGGCGCAAAGCGAGGGCAGGCGGUUC
Molecule: ribosomal RNA, 252 nt
Filed under: uncultured bacterium
Lineage: Bacteria
Description: partial 16S ribosomal RNA
Rfam family: Bacterial small subunit ribosomal RNA
Source: RNAcentral